UACGGAGGAUCCAAGCGUUAUCCGGAAUUACUGGGCGUAAAGAGUUGCGUAGGUGGCAUAGUAAGCAAGUAGUGAAAGCGUGUGGCUCAACCAUACUCACAUUAUUUGAACUGCUAAGCUAGAGGAUGAGAGAGGUUAUUGGAAUUCCUAGUGUAGGGGUAAAAUCCGCUGAUAUUAGGAAGAACACCGAUGGCGUAGGCAGGUAACUGGCUCAUUCCUGACACUAAGGCACGAAAGCGUGGGGAGCAAACAGG
RNAcentral lists this ribosomal RNA (254 nucleotides) under uncultured bacterium. Its description in RNAcentral is "partial 16S ribosomal RNA". It matches the Rfam family "Bacterial small subunit ribosomal RNA", at positions 524 to 776 of the family's 1533-position model. The record is from RNAcentral.